RNAcentral lists this long non-coding RNA (246 nucleotides) under Manihot esculenta (cassava). Its description in RNAcentral is "long non-coding RNA (MESC_LNC001620)". The record is from RNAcentral. Lineage: Eukaryota; Viridiplantae; Streptophyta; Magnoliopsida; Malpighiales; Euphorbiaceae.
CCCAUUUUCGGCCAAGGUGAGCUCUCCGCCGUCCCUCAUUGAUUUUGAGACUCUUCCUUCGAAUCUUCAUGAUUUUCUUAUGAGUUUUCAUUUGGUUUGAAGAUAUUUGAGCAAAAGAGCAAGUUUUGAAGCUUGGAGACCAAAAAGGUGAUUUCUCCCCAUCUCCAAGCUAGGAUCGUCUUUUCUCUCGAUCUCCAAGAGGUAAGCUUAGAUCCGACCUUCCUUGUAUGUUUUAAACAAGUUUUA